CAACAGCCAAGUCCUGGAGCAAGCUUCCUGUAUGGUCAGCUCAUGGGGUGCUCCUGUGUUUAACACCCAAAGAAAAAAUACUGAUCUUCCUGCUGGACAACAGAUGACUGAUUUGAGCAUCUCCAGAUCCGACAGAUGUAUUUGCAGAUCCCAUCACCUCUCUGAGCACUCACUUGUAUGAAUGAAUGAAGAAAAAAAUGGUACUGUGCUCAUUAUUAAAGUAACACUAUUACCCUGA
Long non-coding RNA from Bombina bombina (fire-bellied toad), 238 nucleotides. RefSeq lists it as uncharacterized. NCBI's taxonomy places the organism in Eukaryota, Metazoa, Chordata, Amphibia, Anura, Bombinatoridae. The record is from RefSeq and is a predicted model, not a curated record. The transcript is spliced from 2 exons.